UACAGAGGAUGCAAGCGUUAUCCGGAUUUACUGGGCGUAAAGCGUGUGCAGGCGGGGUGACAAGUGGUGUAUGAAAUAUCCCGGCUUAACCGGGAAGGGUUAUGCCAGACUGUCAUCCUAGAGUGCGAGAGAGGGGCGUGGAAUUCCGGGUGUAGUGGUGAAAUGCGUAGAGAUCCGGAGGAACCCCAGAGGCGAAGGCGGCGCCCUGGCUCGCAACUGACGCUCAGACACGACAGCAUGGGGAGCGAACGGG
Molecule: ribosomal RNA, 253 nt
Filed under: uncultured bacterium
Lineage: Bacteria
Description: partial 16S ribosomal RNA
Rfam family: Bacterial small subunit ribosomal RNA
Source: RNAcentral